UGAGGGAUAUUGGUCAAUGGGCGCAAGCCUGAACCAGCGACGCCGCGUGGGUGAAGAAGGUCUUCGGAUCGUAAAGCCCUUUUCCCACUGAAGAGGAAGGACGGUAGGUGGGGAAGAAGUCUCGGCUAACUACGUGCCAGCAGCCGCGGUAAAACGUAGGAGACAAGCGUUAUCCGGAGUUACUGGGCGUAAAGGGCGUGCAGGUGGCGUCUUAAGUCUGUUGUGAAAGCGCCUGGCUUAACCGGGCGAGGCCAAUGGAGACUGAGAGGCUAGAGUACGGUAGAGGAUGGUGGAAUUCCCGGUGUAGCGGUGAAAUGCGUAGAGAUCGGGAGGAACACCCGUGGCGAAGGCGGCCAUCUGGACCAGUACUGACGCUGAGGCACGAAAGCGUGGGGAGCAAACA
Molecule: ribosomal RNA, 403 nt
Filed under: uncultured bacterium
Lineage: Bacteria
Description: bacterial SSU rRNA
Rfam family: Bacterial small subunit ribosomal RNA
Source: RNAcentral